GUACGGGAGGCAGCAGUCGAGAAUUUUUCACAAUGGGCGCAAGCCUGAUGGAGCGACGCCGCGUGGGGGAUGAAUGGCUUCGGCCCGUAAACCCCUGUCAUUUGCGAUCAAACGUUAUUAUUUAAAAGAUGAUGACCUGAUGGUAGCGAAAGAGGAAGGGACGGCUAACUCUGUGCCAGCAGCCGCGGUAAUACAGAGGUCCCAAGCGUUGUUCGGAUUCACUGGGCGUAAAGGGUGCGUAGGUGGUGGGGUAAGUCGGAUGUGAAAUCUCGGAGCUCAACUCCGAAAUGGCAUUGGAAACUGCCCUGCUUGAGGGUCGGAGGGGGGACUGGAAUACUUGGUGUAGCAGUGAAAUGCGUAGAUAUCAAGUGGAACACCAGUGGCGAAGGCGAGUCCCUGGACGACUCCUGACACUGAGGCACGAAAGCUAGGGGAGCAAACAGGAUUAGAUACCCCCGUAGUCCC
This 465-nucleotide ribosomal RNA is filed under the name uncultured bacterium. RNAcentral's name for it is "bacterial SSU rRNA". It matches the Rfam family "Bacterial small subunit ribosomal RNA", at positions 339 to 797 of the family's 1533-position model. The record is from RNAcentral.